UCUAUACGCUUUGCGAGUUUUUUUUUUUAUACUGGUUAUGGUGGGGAUUUACUAGAUCUAGAGCUAGGGUUUGGAUUUCAGAAGAUUGAAGUGAGAAGAUGCUUUUUCCUUUUCCAUUUUUCUUUGCAUUCAUGUUAUAUAUUUUCUGCUUCUCCGAAGAUUUCAGUAUUGGGUAGUUGUACUGUUUAGGGUUUGAGAUAUGUUGUUUUUGUUCUUCGAUUCAUUGCAGUUUUCUUGAUUUUGUAUUGUUUUAGGGCUUGAGAUCUGUUUCAGUGGUUCCUAAGGGCCUGUUUGGAUGCCUGUAAGUUGGGUAAAAUGUAAAUGACUUACAGGGAAGUCAAUUACAGGUGGUGUUUGGGGGAGGAAAUUCACCUGUAACCUGUAAGUCACUUACAGGCAAAUCUUCCAGGAAACUGCAGGGGGCUGGGGGUGAGAAGUCACUUCCCUGUAAGUGACUUACAGGCUCAACGUUUGGAUUUUUGAAAAGAGGGAAAGGGGGAGAAAUGCACCAACAGUCUACCUGCAAUCAGCUCCAAUUUCUCUCUCUCUCUCCGUCUCUGCAAUCAGCUCUCUCUCUACACCUCUCUCCGGUUGCUAGGGUUACAAGCUUCUUUUUUUUCUUGCUUUUGAAUCCGCCCGAUUCGGUGAGGCCAUGACAGUGGGGCCCACCUUAUGUAUUGAUAUAUCCACUGUCCAUCACUUCUGCAAUCUUGUUUUAGGGCUUGGGCCAAAAAAUGAGGCAAAUCCAAAUCUCAGGUGGGUCACAUCACGGGAAACAGUGAUGAUUGAACGUCCACCAUUAAAGACUACAUAGGGCCCAUUGUUAUGUUUAUUUGCCAUCCAACCUGUUGAUAAGGUCACACAUACGUAGAUAAGGGAAAACAUAAAUAUAAGCUUGAUCCAACUCUUUUGCGGCCCACAAGAAAUUCUAUUGGUGGGCAUUCAAUUACCGUUGUUUCUUGUGGUGUGGCUCAUCUAAGAUUUGGAUUAUUAUUAUUAUUAUUAUUUUAUCGGGCCAUACCUCAUAAUGAACUGUUGAAACAUACAUCAAGGCGGGUCCCAUGGUCCAGUCCAUCAUGGUGGACCAUUGCUCUUAUAUUUUUAAUUUUUAUUAUUUAGCCAUUGCCCAUUAAGAUGGACCAUUUUUAUUUUAUUAAACCAUCUUGUGUGUGGUCCCAUAAAUUAUACAAUGAUUAGGCUCUAUUAAGGCUUUCAGGAUUGGCGUUGAGUGAGAAAGACGAGUUGCUUCCAACAAUUCGAAUCAUAUACGAUCCAACUCUAUAAAUGAGUUGUUAUCAACCUUUGCUUAUAGAGUUCUGGCUGAUCUAAUAUCUUCAAUGGCCUCAAAAGAAUCCAUAGUCUCUUUGUGGGAUGUUUCUUUAGUGUGUUGCACUAUUUUCUUAUAGCCAUUCUUCUUGUUGUAAAUCCGGCAAAGAACCCAAUCAUCUAGCUACAACAAAAAGAUUUCAUAGCGAGCGCAAUUAAAAUUUUCCAAUUGUUUCCUAUCAAUUCUUAUACUAAGUUAUUGCUCUAUAUUAUAGGUAUUUUGAAUUAGUGGGCCCACUUUUAUGGCUAACUUGAUGAGUGUUUUAGCUUAAGAAUUGGCUUAAACAUUUAUCUAGAUGGGCCUAACAAAAUUGUAUAUUUGGUGCCAAGUUUUUUUUUUUUUUUAAUGUAAUCAUAACAUAUUGGAAUGAUUCCCUACGCUAAACUUUGUUCGAUGUGAAUAUAAAGCUUCUUACCUGUAAAUAACUUAUAGGUUACCCAAACAUAAAAACCAACUUACCUGUGAGUGACUUACAACCUACAUCCAAACAGGAUUACCUGUAAGUGACUUUCACAUGUAAGUGACUUACCUGUAAUUCACAACUUAAAGAACUUACAGGCAUCCAAACAGGCCCUAAGGCGUUUCAAUUCGUUGCUAUGGAUAUUUUUUCCCUUUUUCAUUGAGAUUUGCUAGAUCUAGAGAUAGGGUCUGCGUUUCGAAAGAUUAAAAUGAGACUCGUGUUCGAAUCCCUCUCCAAGUUCUCUCACUUCUCCAUCCUGAUGUUGCUCUUGUUAGAAGGCUACCUUUUGAAUGAUAGAGACAGAGCAAUGUCUAUGGGUUUGGAGUUUUGCUGCUGGAGCUCUUAACUGGGCUGAAACCUUUUGACAGUACCUGCCUGCUCAGUUUAUUACUCAAAAAACUCCCUUUCAAAUUCAGGUUAUUGAAACCAACCAAGAUUCCAAACCCCGCCCUUCUUCAACCUUAGUUGCAGGAUCCUUGUAAUAGGUGCCGCUCCUGCUUCGAAUCAUGCUUCAGACUCCUGUUCAUGUCCCACUUCCUAGACAUUUACACUUGAUAACAUUUGCGGACAGACGCUUCCCUGCUCCUACAUCUGAAUCUGUUGUCUUGCUUGCCUCACGCUUCAUGCAACCAUAUUUCCGCCACGCCACCAGUCUAUGAAAAGAUACUCUUGCUUGGUCUUGCUUAAUUAUAUUCAGAAAGUUCAAAAAAUUGUACUGGAUGCAUUUAGAGAAAUCAUAAUACUCACAAAGUACAAAUGGUUGAAGUUGCCAUCAUUGAAAGUCUAACCGGUCUUUGAUAUGGAGGAAUGUUAUAAACGUUGAUGGUCAAUGUUAUGUUGAAUGUAAUUUGAGAAUGUGUUCCCAAACUUAUAUUUGAUUCCUUUCCUUGCGUGUGCUUGCAUUUCUUGCA
Magnolia sinica is the source of this 2698-nucleotide long non-coding RNA. RefSeq lists it as uncharacterized. The record is from RefSeq and is a predicted model, not a curated record. The transcript has 3 exons. Lineage: Eukaryota; Viridiplantae; Streptophyta; Magnoliopsida; Magnoliales; Magnoliaceae.